AACGAACGCUGGCGGCAGGCCUAACACAUGCAAGUCGAACGCCCUAGCAAUAGGGAGUGGCGCACGGGUGCGUAACGCGUGGGAAUAUGCCCUUGACUGCGGGACAACAUCGGGAAACUGAUGCUAAUACCGCAUAAUGACUCCGGUCCAAAGAUUUAUCGGUCAAGGAUUAGCCCGCGUCUGAUUAGCUAGUUGGUGAGGUAAUGGCUCACCAAGGCGACGAUCAGAAGCUGGUCUGAGAGGAUGAUCAGCCACACUGGGACUGAGACACGGCCCAGACUCCUACGGGAGGCAGCAGUGAGGAAUAUUGGACAAUGGGCGCAAGCCUGACCCAGCCAUGCCGCGUGAGUGACGAAGGCCUUCGGGUUGUAAAGCUCUUUCUGAUGCGAAGAUAAUGACGGUAACAUCAGAAGAAGCCCCGGCUAAAUUCGUGCCAGCCGCCGCGGUAA
RNAcentral lists this ribosomal RNA (449 nucleotides) under uncultured bacterium. RNAcentral's name for it is "partial 16S ribosomal RNA". It matches the Rfam family "Bacterial small subunit ribosomal RNA", at positions 29 to 523 of the family's 1533-position model. The record is from RNAcentral.